UCGGUCAACCGACUGUCGCCGUGGGAGCCAUUGCGGUGUACUGCUCCUUGGCUGAUUCCUAGAUAUGGAUGCACUAGUCCGUGUAGGGUUGCUGCUACACAUAUGCUAUACUAAAUAAGGAGCAGCAGUUGUCGUCAUCAUCGUUGUCUUUAUUGUUGUUGUCCCCAUCGUCAACCUUGUUGUUGUUGCCGUCGUCAUUAUCGUCGUUGAUGUUCUUAUCCUCAAAGUAUUCUUAAAUAAAUUAUAAACCACUUGUUGGUCUACUAUGAUAUGUUUGGACUACAAUCAUCCAGUGUAUUGUUAUCCGAUUCAUCAAGUGAAAUGGGAACAAGAAAGAGCAAUAAAGAGAAGAAAGAAUGUGCAGGUAACUAGAAGG
Molecule: long non-coding RNA, 376 nt
Filed under: Musa acuminata (dwarf banana)
Lineage: Eukaryota; Viridiplantae; Streptophyta; Magnoliopsida; Zingiberales; Musaceae
Description: long non-coding RNA (MACU_LNC011569)
Source: RNAcentral